Myodes glareolus (Bank vole) is the source of this 1288-nucleotide non-coding RNA. NCBI's taxonomy places the organism in Eukaryota, Metazoa, Chordata, Mammalia, Rodentia, Cricetidae. The record is from RefSeq and is a predicted model, not a curated record.
CUUUAAAGAGAGAAUAAAGUAAUACAAAAAGGAUAAGCCAUGUAAAGAUAGAAAAUACACAGAUAGUGUAGAUUCUAUAUGGUGUCUUAAUUGACUUUGAAUUUUUAGAUUACUGAUGAACAAUGGCAGGUGCUGAGAGACAUGGAAUUAUAAGAGAGGUUGAUGAAUUAAAUCAGUCUAGAUACUUUAGGAAUGCCUUAACUUUAAAAUGGAAGUCAGAAAAUGCAUUGCUUUGUGGAAGAGGUUAUGCUUUUGUUUCCAUAUAAAAUGAAUGCUGUGGAUUCUUUCAAGACUGAGAGUGAUCAGGUUUGAUCAUGGAUGAACCCCUGAAAAUCCUGGCUACAGACAUAAAUAAACCUAGAGAAUCUGCAAGAGAGGUGACGUGUAUUUCACCUGAUCAAACUAAAACAGAAAAAAAAUCAUCUUUGGCUGGUUUGCGUACAAUGCACAGUUCAUACUUGUGUUAAUGCAGACAGAGGGAUGGAGAAGAAUGCAUCUUUUAAGCUAAAUACAGUGUAAUCUUUUUGAUUUAGUGGUAACAAGCGGAAUAAACUGUAGGCAUUUGGAACAGUUGGAUAAAUAGAUUAUAUCCUUUUGUUCACUCUCCUCACGUCAAACACCUUCUGGGCUAUUUCUCAUAGUUCAGGUGGCUGGGCUGACUGAGGUUGCCAUUUCUCACUUCACAGGCUCACUGAGAAUCAAAAGCACCCUGAGAGGGCCAGUCAGCGUAAGUAUAGGCUAUUCAGGCUCACAGAAGCUUUGGAGGUGAUCCUUGCUGAUAGGAUAACCAUAAUCCUCCUUAAUGAUAGUGAAUACAAUGUAUCAAAUGUCUUUACAGCACAAGUGAGAGCGCUGUUAGUUCAGUUGCCCCAAUGCUGGGAAACUUCCUUCAGCUAAUGGCCUUUGAAAGUCUGGACCAGGUUUGGCAUGGCCUUUUGUAUCAAAAAAGUGUGAGCACACACCCCUCUCUCCUCUCUUGCCUAGAUGCUGGAUUCAAUUCCUGUUUCCUAUUUGUGAAGAGGACUGUAAUCUACAAAACUGGGAGGUGCACGGAAACAUCCUUCAGUCAAUGGCCUUUGAAAGACUGAACCAGAUUGGGCAUGACCUUGGAUACCAAAAAUGUAACUUGGAAGCGAAUGAACAGCCUCUGAAAACUAAUUGGUACCCAAUGUGGUAGUUCACUCUGAUAGCCUGGCAAACCAAGGGCAACCUCAUAACCUUCGUCUGUCUUAAAGCAGAUGUCUCCUGAAGCAGCCUAGAAUUCCAGAGCAAAUGUUCAGGUUGAGAA